Molecule: ribosomal RNA, 578 nt
Filed under: uncultured bacterium
Lineage: Bacteria
Description: partial 16S ribosomal RNA
Rfam family: Bacterial small subunit ribosomal RNA
Source: RNAcentral
UAAGGAAUAUUGCUCAAUGGGAGAAAUCCUGAAGCAGCAACGCCGCGUGGAGGAUGAAGGGUUUUUAACUUGUAAACUCCUGUAAAGAAGGAAAAAAUUCCCAUUAGAUGGGAAAUGAUGGUACUUCUGGAGUAAGCCCCGGCUAACUACGUGCCAGCAGCCGCGGUAACACGUAGGGGGCAAGCGUUGUCCGGAUUUACUGGGUGUAAAGGGUGCUCAGGCGGAUUUGUAAGUCAGAGGUGAAAUCUCACAGCUUAACUGUGAAACUGCCUUUGAUACUGCAAGCCUAGAGUAUGGAAGAGAGUGAUGGAAUAUCUGGUGUAGCAGUGAAAUGCGUAGAUAUCAGAUAGAACACCAAUGGCGAAGGCAGUCACUUGGUCCAUAACUGACGCUAAAGCACGAAAGCGUGGGUAGCAAACAGGAUUAGAUACCCUGGUAGUCCACGCCCUAAACGAUGAAUACUAGAUGUUGGCUUCGCAUGAAGUCAGUAUCUGAGCUAACGCAUUAAGUAUUCCACCUGGAAGUACGAUCGCAAGGUUGAAACUCAAAUGAAUUGACGGGGUCAUAGCUGUUUCCUG